Molecule: non-coding RNA, 24 nt
Filed under: Arabidopsis thaliana (thale cress)
Lineage: Eukaryota; Viridiplantae; Streptophyta; Magnoliopsida; Brassicales; Brassicaceae
Source: RNAcentral
CCAUUGUCUUUUAAAUUGUGGUAG